RNAcentral lists this ribosomal RNA (250 nucleotides) under uncultured bacterium. Its description in RNAcentral is "partial 16S ribosomal RNA". It matches the Rfam family "Bacterial small subunit ribosomal RNA", at positions 524 to 773 of the family's 1533-position model. The record is from RNAcentral.
AACGUAGGAGACAAGCGUUAUCCGGAGUUACUGGGCGUAAAGGGCGUGUAGGCGGCUGUUUAAGUGGGUUGUGAAAGCGUCUGGCUUAACCGGGCGAGGCCGACCCAGACUGGACAGCUGGAGGGCGGUAGAGGAGUGUGGAAUUCCGGGUGUAGUGGUGAAAUGCGUAGAGAUCCGGAGGAACACCAGAGGCGAAGGCGACACUCUAGGCCGCACCUGACGCUGAGACGCGACAGCACGGGGAGCAAAC